Molecule: transfer RNA, 72 nt
Filed under: Bos taurus (domestic cattle)
Lineage: Eukaryota; Metazoa; Chordata; Mammalia; Artiodactyla; Bovidae
Rfam family: tRNA
About the family: Transfer RNA (tRNA) molecules are approximately 80 nucleotides in length. Their secondary structure includes four short double-helical elements and three loops (D, anti-codon, and T loops). Further hydrogen bonds mediate the characteristic L-shaped molecular structure. tRNAs have two regions of fundamental functional importance: the anti-codon, which is responsible for specific mRNA codon recognition, and the 3' end, to which the tRNAs corresponding amino acid is attached (by aminoacyl-tRNA synthetases). tRNAs cope with the degeneracy of the genetic code in two manners: having more than one tRNA (with a specific anti-codon) for a particular amino acid; and 'wobble' base-pairing, i.e. permitting non-standard base-pairing at the 3rd anti-codon position.
Source: Rfam by way of RNAcentral
UCCCUGAUGGCUCAACUGUAAAGAACCUGCCUGCAAUGCAGGAGAGCCAAGUUGGAAACCUUGGUCAGGAAG